AUCGCUUCUCGGCCUGUUGGCUAAGAUCAAGUGUAGGAACCUCUAUAAAUGUAGUAAUUUAAAUUCUCCUUUGAGUCAGUUAUAACAUCUUACUGGCUCCCUCAUUAAUUAAUGAGUUAAAUAAAAUCUUUGACAGAUGUUCCUCUUAUUUUUGUAUGAGAAUCAUAAAU
This is a small nuclear RNA of Heterocephalus glaber (naked mole-rat), 170 nucleotides long. Its record names the gene U2. It matches the Rfam family "U2 spliceosomal RNA". Rfam says of the family: U2 is a small nuclear RNA (snRNA) component of the spliceosome (involved in pre-mRNA splicing). The record is from Ensembl. Lineage: Eukaryota; Metazoa; Chordata; Mammalia; Rodentia; Bathyergidae.